RNAcentral lists this ribosomal RNA (394 nucleotides) under uncultured bacterium. RNAcentral describes it as "partial 16S ribosomal RNA". It matches the Rfam family "Bacterial small subunit ribosomal RNA", at positions 523 to 918 of the family's 1533-position model. The record is from RNAcentral.
AUACGUAGGGAGCGAGCGUUGUCCGGAAUUACUGGGCGUAAAGGGCGCGUAGGCGGCGCUUCAAGUCGUCUGUCAAAUGGGAGGACUUAACCCUUUUUCGCAGACGAAACUGGAGAGCUUGAGAAGCAGAGAGGCAAACAGAAUUCCUGGUGUAGCGGUGAAAUGCGUAGAUAUCAGGAAGAAUACCAGUGGCGAAGGCGGUUUGCUGGCUGCAUACUGACGCUGAAGCGCGAAAGCCAGGGGAGCAAACGGGAUUAGAUACCCCGGUAGUCCUGGCAGUAAACGAUGUAUGCUGGGUGUGAGACUAGCGAUAGUUUCGUGCCGAAGUUAACGCGAUAAGCAUACCGCCUGGGGAGUACGGUCGCAAGAUUGAAACUCAAAUGAAUUGGCGGGG